GGAACUUAAAGCUCUCAACCUGCUCCACUACAGCCCUGUCGAUGAGAAUGGGGGCAUGCUCGGUCCUCCUUUUCCUGUAGUCCACAAUCAUCACCUUUGUCUUGAUCAUGUUGAGGGAAAGGUUGUCCUUGCACCACAUGGUCAGGUCUCUGACCUCCUCCCUAUAGGCUGUCUCAUCGUUGUUGGUGAUCAGGCCUACCACUGCUGUGUCAUCAGCAAACUUAAUGAUGCUGUUGGAGUCGUGCCUGGCCGUGCAGUCAUGAGUGAACAGGGUGUACAGGAGGGGACUGAGCAUGCACCCCUGAGGAGCCCCAGUGUUGAGGAUCAGCAUGGCGGAUGUGUUGUUACCUACCCUUACCACCUGGGGGCGGCCCGUCAGGAAGUCCAGACUCAGACAGGGAGAGGUUGAAAAUGUCAGUGAAGACACUUGCCAGUUGGUCAGUGCAUGCUCGGAGUACACGUCCUGGUAAUCCGUCUGGUCCUGCGGCCAUGUGAAUGUUGCCCUGUUUAACCUCACUAGGGUAGGGGGCAGCAUUCGGAAUUUUGGAUGAAAAGCGUGCCCAAAGUAAACUGCCUGCUACUCAGGUCCAGAAGCUAGGAUAUGCAUGUAAUUGGUCAUAAAUUCCAUGAGGAGACUAUCUUCCCCCCCGGCCAUGCGGUAUAGAGAGAGAGGCUUCACAGUAGAACACAGGAACUUCUACCUCACAGAACUUGAGAACUGAACAAUAUCCAUGUUUUGGAGAAUGUGUAAACAGUCAGUGGAGAAUCCAGCUGCGACCGGUCCAUUUUGUUUAAUGUUUGUGACCUCAUGAGAGACAAUACAGCCACAUUACCAUAACUCUGUUUAUACAAGAGUCUCCGUUAUGAGAUUUGCAUCUAAUUAUUGUAUACAAUGAAUGAGUAAAGAUGAAACUAUUUGUGAAAUUGUGUAAUGUGAUUUUAAACUGUUUAAUGAAAGAGAAUCCAAUUCCCUUUAAAGUUUAAUUAAGCCCUUGGCCCGCCCCAUGAGCACAGACAUUGAUCUGGCAUCAUGGGACAGCCUUUUCUGCUGUUCCAAAUAUAACCCCCACCUGGAGAUGUCCACUUCAGACCAUGCAUACCUCGAUUACCGAGAGGCCUAAGGUUUGAGUAGAGACCAUGCAUUCCUCGGUCAUCUGAGGGAGCUAAGGUUGUAACAUUUGUUGAAUUCCUAACCAAACCACGUGGAGCACUGGCUACACUGAUGGAAAUGGUUAAAGUCUGAGACUAUCGAUACCGACAGAAUAAGAGCAAAUCUUCGAGACUAAUUACUAGUCUGCAGCUAGAAUUUAUGUCGACCUGGAAUGAGAAGACCGACAACCGCCGAAACAUCUAUUCUACAAGAACAUUUCUGAAUGGGACUCUGAAGUAUCCAUUCUAACCACAAAAGACUCCAGGGACGCAAAGAGAAGUUCAGAGGAACUUUUCAACAGAAAGACUGACGAUUCCAACAGAGAUCACGACGACACACUGAGCGUAAAUAUAUAUUUUGAUUGCAAUUAUUGAGUGAGCGUUCAUGUGCAAAGGAUUAGUAUUUCUAUCAAUAUAAUUAUCAACUGUGUAGUGUCUUUUGUCUUUCGCACCCUUCUCAGUCCCUUUGUCUACCAAGCCACCAUAUCGGUUUAGCCCACUAGGGCACAUCCCCUAUCAUUUCCUUGUAACCAUAUCUGCU
RNAcentral lists this long non-coding RNA (1690 nucleotides) under Salmo salar (Atlantic salmon). RNAcentral's name for it is "lncRNA (ENSSSAG00000105487.1)". The record is from RNAcentral. Lineage: Eukaryota; Metazoa; Chordata; Actinopteri; Salmoniformes; Salmonidae.